Non-coding RNA from Equus caballus (horse), 4442 nucleotides. Lineage: Eukaryota; Metazoa; Chordata; Mammalia; Perissodactyla; Equidae. The record is from RefSeq and is a predicted model, not a curated record.
GAGUGAUUUUUUGGGGACAAUAAGAUUAUAGGUUAUUUUUUUCCUCCCUGAUUCUCUGUUUUUUCUCCUUCCUUCUUCCUUCUUCCUUAUCCCUCCUUCUUCCUUCUUCCCCUUCUCCUCCUCCGUCUCCUUCUUUGUCUUCUUCUUUAAGCAUGCUGCUUGUAUAAUAAUAAAAAAAACUAUCAGAAACCCAGAUCCAGACCGAGGAGACUCACAGUCCAGUGGGAGGUCAGCACAGGGAAGAUAGAAGCCACCUCUGAAUAUGGGGGUGUCUGAGCCCAUGUGAGCCAUGGAGGGACCCUGACACUGGACUCAGGUCCCACUGUCUCCCCACACCUGCCCUGACCACCAGCCAAAAGCCUUCCUUCUCUCGCUGUCCCUCUUCUGAACCCCACAUGCAAGGCUGGGCCCACCACUCAGAGGCAUGUGCUUGGCUUAUCCUGCCUUGUGACAUUGUCCCUAUUGUUACCCAACAAUCCUAUUUUACCUUGAGCAAGGAUGACACACACAUUUGUGACUCAUCCCAUUUGUUCUGCCCUCUCCCAGCUCUGGACUUCCGGUGGCACUGACUGUCCCUGCCCUGGCAAGUACCACAACCUUGCUCUGCAGCUAGUUUUCACAUGGGCACGUCCUAUCGCCCGUGUAGACUGUCGGCUCCAGGGAGGCUGAGAUUGCAACUUAGGACGGCUCUGUUCCUAGUACUUAAUGUGCUCAUUCACGUAAUCCUUGCAACAGCAACAAGGCAAGUACAAUUACUUCCAUUUUACACGGGAGGAAACUAAAGCCCUGAGAAGUUGAAUGCCCUCUGGGGUUGCUGCAGAGCUGGGAUGUGCACCCAGGCCUCUGAGCUCUAACAUCCAUGAGCUUAACUGCUGCCCCGCUGCCCCGUCCUGCCCCGAGUGGGUUCUGGAAAGGAUUGCAACAACUUCCAAAGGGGACAAGGAACCCUCGUGUUGGAGCAGGUUGGAAACCCCCGGGCUGGGCUGUCGAGGCAGUGUGUCAUUCUCCUGUGCAGAGAGGAGUCAUGAGGCCUGAGGUCAGGUUCCAGCCCCUCUCCGGGCUGGCUGGAUGAUCUUGGGGGCUGCCCCGUGUGACUUGGAGAGCUUUGGUUUCCUCAUCCGGGAACAGAGAACGUGAAAAUUAUUUGGCAGGAUUGUCAAGAAGAUUAAAUGAGAUCGUGAAAGGGCUUUCCAACUGUGAAGUGUCGCUCAAAUGUAAGGAUUGUUUCUGUCCUCUUACACACGUUGGCAGCUUCUUGAGGGCAGGUGUCUUCUGUGACCCCUCCCACCCCCACCCCCUCCGGCGCUCAACGCAGGGCUGUGGAGAUAACCUGGGAAAAACACCACAAAGUGACUCGCACAGGGGUGUAGCACGUGGGAGUUGCUUAACAAGUGGUAGCUGAUGCGUACACGCGUGCCGUUGCACAGACAGAAUAGGGGGAAGGCUCAGAGUAUGGACUCUGGUUUGAAUCCUCUCGCUGCCACUUGCUAGGUUGGCGAGUGUGGCCCUGGGCGAGGUUAGCGCUAAUCUACCCUCGUGUCCUCAUCCAUCACACAUGGCUGAUGAGAAUAAUGGCUAGUUCAUGGGGGUGGUUGUGAGAACCCGAGGAGUUCAGUCUAUGGAACACGACCAGGCACAGAUCGAGCCCUCAGUAGGCAUCAGCUAUUGUUACUAUUUGACUGUUGUACACUGAGCGACUCUUCAGGAGGUGAUCUGAGAAGAUCGCUAGACUGGAGAGUGGGACACGUAACUCCUGGACUUUGCUCAGAGUCGGCAAGGCCUUCAAAGCCAGUUAGAUGUCACACCAGCCUCUUGGGGUCAGCGCAAGUCAUGUAACUGUGAGUAGGCUUGGGCGUCAUCUCCCCCCGUGUGGGCUAGACCCCUGGACCAGGCAUUGUUGGAUAAAAAGUGUGUGUAUUUAACGUUUGGAUAAAUAUCACAAUGGUCCAUCAGGCGGACGUUUCUGUUUGUGCUCCCUUCCAUCAGAACAGGAGGGCCUGUUUCCAUAUACCCCAACCCACCCACAUUUUUAAGUUUAAAUUUUAUUAAUUUUUUGACUAGAUAAUAUUUGCACAUGGCACAGAAUUCAAAAAUCCACCAAGGGGCAAACAGUGAGAAGUCCCGUCACCCCUGACCCAGCCAUCCAGUCCUCUCCCCAGAAACCCCAACUUUGAUCUCAGCCUGUCUGUAAAUGGACAAGGGUAUCUGACUGAAUAAAUCUCGCUAUUAUUUUUAGGUGAAAACAAGCCAGAAUAUAUUUUGGAGUAGAGUGUUGCAUUUCAAUGAACUUUAAGAUAAAACAGGAGACUUCAAAGACAUUUUAUGCUCAAGGGUGGGGCAGGGCUGGGAGCUGCUUCUGGCUCUGCCUCCUACCUUCUCUUGGGGGAAAAUUUGGUACAGUUCUGAGUUCGUCUAUAAAGUGCAAGCUCGCAGAUGCCCCUGGCCCUCUCGAUUACAUUGAGGUUCUCCUCAUCACCCUGGUCACUUGUAUACAAUCCAUCCCUUGUGCCUCUUCCUGCCCUUGACUUGGCCGCCGCCUUGCUGCCUGACCUUGAGGCGGUUGCCUCCAUUCUGGGCUCAGUUUUUCUCACUUGUAAAAAGAGAGCUUGGACUAGGCCCAUUCCAGGUGUAACAUUCCAGGGCUGGUCAACUAAUUCACAUUAAGGUGUGGAUGACUGAUAACGGCUUAAUGCAUUACCUCUCCUGUGGGUGGGAACAUUUUAAGAGAUGCAAUUUCUCCUCCCAAAAGAGUGAACAUGCAUAGUGCAAUUUCAGGCAUGGUCACAGUGGGUGGGAAUGAUGUGAGGGGAGGGGGCGCCUUUCCUGGGAUUGCUCCAGUGGGCACUGGGGUGGAGGGUGCUGUUCCAGCCAGAGGCGGUGUCAGCCCUGAGGGCACGUGCCUAUUGGUUUCCCUCCAGAACUCACACCACGCUCAUUUCUCUCUGGCGGAGGCCAAGAGCAGGGUUUUGUUAUACUGAAAAAUGCCUCAUCAGGGAAACCCAUGUGUGUGGCCUGGAAAACUAUCCUGUCUCCUGGGGCGAGGGGAGCGGUGGGAGUGUUUGAGCAGCUUGACUUCCAGGUUCGCAGGUCAGUUCUCAUCCUGGCCAAGUGAGGAGACCUCCGCCCGAGGGCCAUCAGCUCUCUGCCAGAGCAGGUGGUCCCGCCACACCUGGAUCCAAGACAUCUGCUUUUUACCCAGGGAGAAAGGCUGUGCCAAAUGCUGUCUGGUUUCAUUUUCUGUAGGAGGUUUGAUUUGGCUUCUGAAUUUUCAGGGAGGGUGUGAGAGAGGGGGUGGCCCGCAGCCACCGUUAGCCCACAGAAGGAAGAAAAGCAUUUCUCUGGCUGAUGAAUUCUAGGCCCGCUGGCCUUGUACAGUGCACAGUGCUGUUGCCCAGCGCAUCUUCCUCUCCAGCCCCCUUUGGGGCACCAUUUUGUCCCACCCGCUGUCUGGGCACCCCUUCAGUGGAGGCAGCUGGGGUAGUCAGUCUAUUCUCCAGGCAAAACUGUGGUAGAUGAGAAUGGAAACCAGGGGCAAUGGUCAGUGGUUCACACUCUGUUGGCCAUGCUGAGAGCUCAGAUAAGACCAGGGAUGGACCCACCUUGUCAGAAUCUCCACCAUCACCUCCCCUGCUCUCCUCUGGAGCAGGCAGCUUCUCAGAACCUGCUGACGCCAAACCCGUGAGCCUCAUCAUGGAGUUCACAGAGCUCUAGACGCUCCCUAAUCAAAGUGUAGUGACCUGGGAGCUGGUUAGAAAUGCAGAAUCUUGGGACCCACUCUAGGCUACCGAGUCAGAUUCUGAAUUUUUACAAGAUACCAGGUUGAUCUGUAUGCACAUUGAUGUUUGGGAAACGUGGGCCUAGAUGCUGAAUGCCUUUGGGAAGUAGGAAGGAAGGAAAUAGAAGCUCCCCGGGGGGAGGGGGGGCGGCUCCUCUGAGGGGAAGACAUGCCCACAGGCCUGUUCAGUGGAGGGAGGUGGACGCUGAGGAAAAGGCUAAGGAAGGCCCUCUAGGACAGCAUGCUGAAAUAGGCGCCUUUAAUGAUUUUAGUUUUAUUUUAAUUUCAUUUUUAAUAGGUAAUUCACUUUCACAUUAAAAUUCUAAGGGUACAGAAGGGUCUGUCAGACAUAGUUUCUUUCCCACACCUAUCUCCCAGCCACUUCCCCUCAAAGGCAACCUCUGUUACUAGGCCGGAGAUAAGACAUGUUGUGCAGAUAAAAGUGUGUGUGUGUGUGUUCUUCCUCACCGGACCCCUUCUAAAAGAUCCCUAUGGUAGCCCACCACACAUAGUAUCUGGACCUUGCUUUUUUAACUUAAUAUAUCUUGGAGAUCGUUCUAUAUUAAUAUGUAAAGAUAAUCCUAGAUUGUAUUUCAGCUGCAUAUUAUUCCACUCUAAGAACGGACCUCAAUUUAUAAUGCCAGGCCCCCACUGAUGGACUUUUAGG